GUUUGAUCCUGGCUCAGAUUGAACGCUAGCGGGAUGCCUUACACAUGCAAGUCGAACGGCAGCACGGACUUCGGUCUGGUGGCGAGUGGCGAACGGGUGAGUAAUGUAUCGGAACGUGCCCAGUAGCGGGGGAUAACUACGCGAAAGCGUAGCUAAUACCGCAUACGCCCUACGGGGGAAAGCAGGGGAUCGCAAGACCUUGCACUAUUGGAGCGGCCGAUAUCGGAUUAGCUAGUUGGUGGGGUAACGGCUCACCAAGGCGACGAUCCGUAGCUGGUUUGAGAGGACGACCAGCCACACUGGGACUGAGACACGGCCCAGACUCCUACGGGAGGCAGCAGUGGGGAAUUUUGGACAAUGGGGGAAACCCUGAUCCAGCCAUCCCGCGUGUGCGAUGAAGGCCUUCGGGUUGUAAAGCACUUUUGGCAGGAAAGAAACGUCGCGGGUUAAUACCCCGCGGAACUGACGGUACCUGCAGAAUAAGCACCGGCUAACUACGUGCCAGCA
Molecule: ribosomal RNA, 507 nt
Filed under: Achromobacter sp. LU6
Lineage: Bacteria; Pseudomonadati; Pseudomonadota; Betaproteobacteria; Burkholderiales; Alcaligenaceae
Description: bacterial SSU rRNA
Rfam family: Bacterial small subunit ribosomal RNA
Source: RNAcentral